Non-coding RNA from Hordeum vulgare subsp. vulgare (domesticated barley), 125 nucleotides. NCBI's taxonomy places the organism in Eukaryota, Viridiplantae, Streptophyta, Magnoliopsida, Poales, Poaceae. The record is from Rfam.
UUGAUACUCUCUCCGUCCGGUAUUACUUGUCUCACAAAUGUAUAAAAAUAGAUGUAUCUAGAACUAAAAUACAUCUAGAUACAUCCAUCCCUAUGACUAGUAUUUUUGGAUGGAGGGAGUACAUG